GACGAACGCUGGCGGCGUGCUUAACACAUGCAAGUCGAACGGACAGGCCCUGCUUUUGCGGGUUGCUCGAGUGGCGAACGGGUGAGUAACACGUGAGUAUCCUGCCCUUGACUUUGUGGUAACUUCAGGAAACUGGGGCUCAUACCCCAUAGGAUCUCCUGCUGCAUGUUGUGCGUUGGAGAGUUUCGGCGGUUCGGGAUGGACUCGCUGCUUAUCAGCUUGUUGGUGUGGUAGUGGCUUACCAAGGCUUUGACGGGUAGCCGGCCUGAGAGGGUGACCGGCCACAUGGGGACUGAGAUACGGCCCAGACUCCUACGGGAGGCAGCAGGGGGGAAUAUUGCACAAUGGGCGGAAGCCUGAUGCAGCAACGCCGCGUGCGGGAUGACGGCCUUCGGGUUGUAAACAGAUUUCGCAUGUGACGAAGCGUGAGUGACGGUAAUGGGUAAAGAAGCAACGGCUAACUACGUG
RNAcentral lists this ribosomal RNA (468 nucleotides) under uncultured bacterium. RNAcentral's name for it is "partial 16S ribosomal RNA". It matches the Rfam family "Bacterial small subunit ribosomal RNA", at positions 28 to 507 of the family's 1533-position model. The record is from RNAcentral.